GGGGCUGUAGCUCAGUUGGUAGAGCGCUUCGUUCGCAUCGAAGAGGUCGGGGUUUCGACUACCCUCAGCUCCACGA
This 76-nucleotide transfer RNA is filed under the name Bifidobacterium asteroides. RNAcentral's name for it is "tRNA-Ala". It matches the Rfam family "tRNA". Rfam says of the family: Transfer RNA (tRNA) molecules are approximately 80 nucleotides in length. Their secondary structure includes four short double-helical elements and three loops (D, anti-codon, and T loops). Further hydrogen bonds mediate the characteristic L-shaped molecular structure. tRNAs have two regions of fundamental functional importance: the anti-codon, which is responsible for specific mRNA codon recognition, and the 3' end, to which the tRNAs corresponding amino acid is attached (by aminoacyl-tRNA synthetases). tRNAs cope with the degeneracy of the genetic code in two manners: having more than one tRNA (with a specific anti-codon) for a particular amino acid; and 'wobble' base-pairing, i.e. permitting non-standard base-pairing at the 3rd anti-codon position. The record is from RNAcentral. Lineage: Bacteria; Bacillati; Actinomycetota; Actinomycetes; Bifidobacteriales; Bifidobacteriaceae.